AGCAGUGGCGCACGGGUGAGUAACGCGUGGGAAUCUACCCUGAGGUUCGGAAUAACGGUUGGAAACGACCGCUAAUACCGGAUGUGCCCUAUGGGGCAAAGGCUUGCCGCCUUGGGAGGAGCCCGCGUCCGAUUAGCUAGUUGGUAAGGUAAUGGCUUACCAAGGCAACGAUCAAUAGCUGUUCUUAGAGGAAGACCAGCCACAUUGGGACUGAGACACGGCCCAAACUCC
RNAcentral lists this ribosomal RNA (231 nucleotides) under uncultured bacterium. Its description in RNAcentral is "partial 16S ribosomal RNA". It matches the Rfam family "Bacterial small subunit ribosomal RNA", at positions 91 to 339 of the family's 1533-position model. The record is from RNAcentral.